Molecule: ribosomal RNA, 253 nt
Filed under: uncultured bacterium
Lineage: Bacteria
Description: partial 16S ribosomal RNA
Rfam family: Bacterial small subunit ribosomal RNA
Source: RNAcentral
AACGUAGGAGACAACCGUUAUCCGGAGUUACUGGGCGUAAAGGGCGUGUAGGUGGUGCUGUAAGUUCGGCGUGAAAUUUUUCGGCUUAACCGGGAAAGGUCGUCGGAUACUGCAGGACUAGAGGACGGUAGAGGCGUGUGGAAUUCCGGGUGUAGUGGUGAAAUGCGUAGAGAUCCGGAGGAACACCAGUGGCGAAGGCGACACGCUGGGCCGUACCUGACGCUGAGGCGCGAAAGCUAGGGGAGCAAACGGG